UCANCCAUAGUGUGCUCUGGAAACUGUCUGACUUGAGUGCAGAAGGGGAGAGNGGAAUUCCAUGUGUAGCGGUGAAAUGCGUAGAUAUAUGGAGGAACACCAGUGGCGAAAGCGGCUCUCUGGUCUGUCACUGACGCUGAGGCUCGAAAGCGUGGGUAGCGAACAGGAUUAGAUACCCUGGUAGUCCACGCCGUAAACGAUGAGUGCUAGGUGUUAGGCCCUUUCCGGGGCUUAGUGCCGGAGCUAACGCAAUAAGCACUCCGCCUGGGGAGUACGACCGCAAGGUUGAAACUCAAAGGAAUUGACGGGGGCCCGCACAAGCGGUGGAGCAUGUGGUUUAAUUCGAAGCAACGCGAAGAACCUUACCAGGUCUUGACAUCCCGAUGCUAUUCUUAGAGAUAGGAAGUUACUUCGGUACAUCGGAGACAGGUGGUGCAUGGUUGUCGUCAGCUCGUGUCGUGAGAUGUUGGGUUAAGUCCCGCAACGAGCGCAACCCUUAUUGUUAGUUGCCAUCAUUAAGUUGGGCACUCUAGCGAGACUGCCGGUAAUAAACCGGAGGAAGGUGGGGAUGACGUCAAAUCAUCAUGCCCCUUAUGACCUGGGCUACACACGUGCUACAAUGGUCGGUACAACGAGUUGCGAGCCGGUGACGGCAAGCUAAUCUCUGAAAGCCGAUCUCAGUUCGGAUUGGAGGCUGCAACUCGCCUCCAUGAAGUCGGAAUCGCUAGUAAUCGCGGAUCAGCACGCCGCGGUGAAUACGUUCCCGGGCCUUGUACACACCGCCCGUCACACCACGAGAGUUUGUAACACCCGA
RNAcentral lists this ribosomal RNA (814 nucleotides) under uncultured bacterium. RNAcentral's name for it is "bacterial SSU rRNA". It matches the Rfam family "Bacterial small subunit ribosomal RNA", at positions 609 to 1424 of the family's 1533-position model. The record is from RNAcentral.